UGGCAUCGAUGAAGAACGCAGCGAAAUGCGAUAAGUAAUGUGAAUUGCAGAAUUCAGUGAAUCAUCGAAUCUUUGAACGCAUAUUGCGCCCAUUAGUAUUCUAGUGGGCAGGACCGUUCGAGCGUCAUUUCGACCCUUAAGCUUUGGUUGCUUAGUGUUGGGAGCCUACGGCAACGUAGCUCCUCAAAGUUAGUGGCGGAGUUGGUUCACACUCUAGACGUAGUAGAUUUUUAUCUCGCCUAUCAGUUGGACCGGUCCCCUGCCGUAAAACCCCCCAACUUCUUAAAGUUGACCUCGAAUCGGUUCAGACAAACUCGCUAAAUUGAAGCAUCUUAGUCAGCGAAGGAAAAGAAACCAACAGGGAUUGCCCUAGUAACGGCGAGUGAAGCGGCAACAGCUCAAAUUUGAAAUCUGGCCCUCGGGUCCGAGUUGUAAUUUGUAGAGGAUGCUUUUGGCGCGGUGCCUUCCGAGUUCCCUGGAACGGGACGCCUUAGAGGGUGAGAGCCCCGUACGGUUGGACACCAAGCCUCUGUAAAGCUCCUUCGACGAGUCGAGUAGCUUGGGAAUGCUGCUCUAAAUGGGAGGUAAAUUUCUUCUAAAGCUAAAUAUUGGCCAGAGACCGAUAGCGCACAAGUAGAGUGAUCGAAAGAUGAAAAGCACUUUGAAAAGAGGGUUAAACAGCACGUGAAAUUGUUGAAAGGGAAGCGUUUGCGACCAGACCUUUUCCUAGCGGAUCAUCCGGUGUUCUCACCGGUGCACUUCGCUAGGUUUAGGCCAGCAUCGGUUUCUGUAGGGGGAUAAAAGCUCUGGGAACGUAGCUCCUCCGGGAGUGUUAUAGCCCUCUGCAUAAUACCCUUACGGGGACCGAGGACCGCGCUCGGCAAGGA
This 887-nucleotide ribosomal RNA is filed under the name Xylaria sp. 3S72. RNAcentral describes it as "eukaryotic LSU rRNA". The stretch from base 290 to 887 matches the Rfam family "Eukaryotic large subunit ribosomal RNA", at positions 1 to 608 of the family's 3401-position model. The record is from RNAcentral. Lineage: Eukaryota; Fungi; Ascomycota; Sordariomycetes; Xylariales; Xylariaceae.